Molecule: long non-coding RNA, 892 nt
Filed under: Fukomys damarensis (Damara mole-rat)
Lineage: Eukaryota; Metazoa; Chordata; Mammalia; Rodentia; Bathyergidae
Description: lncRNA (ENSFDAG00000031674.1)
Source: RNAcentral
GUGCUUUAAAAGCUGAGGUUCGUGUAUCAGGCAGGGUUUAAAUCCUAGCUCUUUCACUUAAACUGCAGCAGGUUACUUAAACUUCUCUCAGCUUCAAUUUUUUUCUUUUAAAUUUGGGGACAGUAAUAUCACCUGCCUCACAGAGGAGAAGAGAGGCUCAACUGAGAGAAUGCAGGUGAAGAAUUUAGCAAAGUUCUGGGCACCUCAUAAAUACCAUGGUGAUGAUGGCUGUGUCACAGUGGUUGAUGAAAAGUCCUCCCCUCUAUGAAGUUAGUUUGAAAGGGGAAGAUAAUCAAAAUUACCAGAAUCCAAGAAAAAAGGGUCCUACUACCUCGAUACCAGAGGUGAGCCAGGCAAGGCUUUCUGGUGAAACUAUCUAAACAACAUUAGUAAAACUAUCUAAACAACAUAGUACCUAAGUAACAAAAGGGAGAUAACUGAAUGAGACUAACACAUGAAUGAGCCCAGUAACUAUCAUAUAGAUUUUGAUAAAAUGUAAGAAAAGAGACCAGAUAUUUUUGAGCUUCUGAACAUCUGCAUUGUGACAGCAUCAGAUUAGAAGAAGCCUUCCGAAUGGAGUAGAAAUAUGAAGUUCACUGAGUAGUUACCAAAGGACAUGAUGAGACUGAAGAUGUCAGCAACAAAAGGCUAUACACAAUGAUAAAAAUGAGACAUACCCAAGUCUGAUCCAAGUGGACACAAGAUGAUUAAGGACAAGCCAUGCUUUUGAAUCAAUACUUGGAACUACCAUGGUUUCUUGGAACAUAAGUGUGCCCCACAAAGAGGGGUAGAGAAGGGAAACUCCAGAAUGAACCAAAGAAUCACUAAUCUGACUUACAUGCUGACAAAACAUUAAUUUCUAUCUUUGAUAUAAGUGUAAAUUUAAGACAAA